This 310-nucleotide unclassified non-coding RNA is filed under the name uncultured fungus. Its description in RNAcentral is "sequence contains ITS1". The stretch from base 1 to 104 matches the Rfam family "5.8S ribosomal RNA", at positions 50 to 154 of the family's 154-position model. Lineage: Eukaryota; Fungi. The record is from RNAcentral.
GAAUUGCGAAAUGUAAUGUGAAUUGCAUUUACCGCGAAUCAUUAAAUCUUUGAAUGCACUUUGCACUGCUGUGAAUUCACGGCAGUACGCCUGUUUGAGCAUCAAUCAAAUUUCUCACUUUUAUAUAGUGAUUGUGAAGUACUGGAUACAGUACUUUUGAGUUUACACAAACUGUUCGUGUUGAUACAACAGUUGGCAAUAUCUAUAUCGAUCUUGUCAACUCUAAUCAACCGUACGCGUGUUUAUUGAGCUCUGACUGCUCUCUCAUUACAUUGAUCUCAAAUCAGGCGAGAAUACCCGCUGAACUUAA